This 111-nucleotide transfer RNA is filed under the name Aspergillus ellipticus CBS 707.79. It matches the Rfam family "tRNA". Rfam says of the family: Transfer RNA (tRNA) molecules are approximately 80 nucleotides in length. Their secondary structure includes four short double-helical elements and three loops (D, anti-codon, and T loops). Lineage: Eukaryota; Fungi; Ascomycota; Eurotiomycetes; Eurotiales; Aspergillaceae. The record is from Rfam by way of RNAcentral.
GUCUUCAUGGUGUAGUUGGUUAUCACGUGGGUCUCAUAUAUUAAUAUAUGACUCGGAAGCUUGCACUUCUGAGAUAUCCCAAGGCCGGGAGUUCGAACCUCCCUGAGGACA